CCCUUAGAUGUUCUGGGCCGCGCGCGCGCUACACUGAUGCAUUCAACGAGUCUAAAACCUGCUCUGAUAGGGGUGGGUAAUCUUUUGAAUGUGCAUCGUGAUUGGGAUAGAUGAUUGCAAUUUUUCAUCUUCAACGAGGAAUGCCUAGUAAACGCAAGUCAUCAGCUUGCAUUGAUUACGUCCCUGCCCUUUGUACACACCGCCCGUCGCUCCUACCGAUUGAAUGAUCCGAUGAAUAUCAUGGAUUGAGGAUGCAAGUAGGUUCGCCUAUCUUCAUCUUCGAGAAGUGAAGUAAAUCUUAUCAUUUAGAGGAAGGAGAAGUCGUAACA
This 329-nucleotide ribosomal RNA is filed under the name uncultured eukaryote. RNAcentral describes it as "partial 18S ribosomal RNA". It matches the Rfam family "Eukaryotic small subunit ribosomal RNA", at positions 1470 to 1796 of the family's 1831-position model. The record is from RNAcentral.